This is a long non-coding RNA of Boleophthalmus pectinirostris (great blue-spotted mudskipper), 322 nucleotides long. RefSeq lists it as uncharacterized. NCBI's taxonomy places the organism in Eukaryota, Metazoa, Chordata, Actinopteri, Gobiiformes, Gobiidae. The transcript has 3 exons. The record is from RefSeq and is a predicted model, not a curated record.
CCUAACCCUUGGAUGGCCUGCUGUUACAGAGAGAAUUUGCGGUUAAAUCAUGUUAGAUCCGCACUGUGAACGUACUUUUAACACAACACUUUGUUUUUGACACAAUGAUUUGUACUAUCAAUGCGCGGAUCCGCGGCUAAACCGGCUUUCCACCUGAGUGGAAAGAAGCUGCAUCCACCUGUUGUCCGCGGAUUUAACUAUGACAUCAGGAGCCCCUGUCCUUCUGCUGAGUGUCCCCAUCAGGAGCCCGGCACGCUGAUCAGAAAAUAUACUAUGGUUAAUAAGAAGAUGGACAUAACAGCAUGAUAAAGACCCUCUGGAG